CGGAUUGUCUUGAAAGCAAUGAAGGUUUUGUCUGCCAUGGCGCCAAUGAAACCUCCCAAUACGGCACCAGUGUCUGCGCGUGUCACGGGGAUGUCUGGAAGUGCGUCUCAGCACCUCCACCAGGAACAUCACCCCCACCAACAACACUACCCCCGACAACACCACCGUGUGGUUGUCCGAAGGAUGGUGGGGGUUGUGCCGACGAGGAGGAGACGCGGGCUGAUGGUUGCGUUUGUAUAGAACAAAACUGGGAGUGUCCGUAAGGCAAACACGAUACAUGUGUCUGUAUAGAACACACCUGGGCGUGGUGUCUUUAAAGCAUGGACAGAGCAACAUUGGCGUCCUGUCUGGACUUAACUAUUGCUCCAAAGCUUGCCACAAUUUUAAUACAGUCAAUACCGAACGAAAUAAAUGAAAUACGUACAA
This is a long non-coding RNA of Gigantopelta aegis, 426 nucleotides long. RefSeq lists it as uncharacterized. Lineage: Eukaryota; Metazoa; Mollusca; Gastropoda; Neomphalida; Peltospiridae. The record is from RefSeq and is a predicted model, not a curated record. The transcript is spliced from 2 exons.